This 1090-nucleotide long non-coding RNA is filed under the name Linum usitatissimum (flax). RNAcentral describes it as "long non-coding RNA (LUSI_LNC004255)". Lineage: Eukaryota; Viridiplantae; Streptophyta; Magnoliopsida; Malpighiales; Linaceae. The record is from RNAcentral.
ACAUACACCAAUUGAGAGAGAGCAACAAGUAGAGAGUGGAAAGUUAGUGUGAGAGUGUUUUGAAUUUGUGUUUGUAUUUUUUUUUAAAUGUAGUAGUUACGUAAAGCUAAUAAAAUUUGUUAUUAUUUUGUUUUGUGUUAAAAUUAGUCAUUUAUAUUCAUUAAUUUGGUGGUGUAUGGUUGAGGUGACGAUACGACGAGAAGUUGAUCCACAUUCUAUUCAUACAUCAACAUCCACGAUAUCUAUUUGUAGUUUCUCGUUGGUAAUGUUUUUUUAACCAUGUGUAUUAUUAUUAUUAUUUUUACUAUGAAUUAAUUUUCUAUUAUGAGAAAUUUGAUGGACUAAGUUAAAUUUAAAUUAUUAUUUGUUAAAUAUUAUCGAUUUACUUUUUUUCUCCUAUUUUAUGUGUUUUGCUAUUCGUAAUGCUAUAUAUUGACUGGCCAUCAAUUUGUUGAUUUGUUGUCUUUAGUGAGUACUCAAAAGGGAAAACCUGAAGAUAGAAUGCUGGCAUCCCCUCACAGUAAUUUAUUAAAACGACGGUGAAUAUAAAAUAUUGUGCGAUCGUAAAAAGGAUAAUUGGUCUUAAGGCUAUUUAAUUACUUAUAUUGGCUGCGACAGUAGAAAUACUAAUAGUUGGAUAGUACGUGGCUAGUUCGGACAUGGAGAGUCAUCACCGUAGAGAUUAUUCGGUCAUAAAAUCAAGAGAUUAAAAUUUUUUAGUGACCAGUGUAUAUGCAUUUAAUAUUUAACUUAGAUUCUGAAAUUUUCCCAGAUCUUUUUAUUAUUGGAUUUAAUCAUCAUUUGAUUUGUGUUUUUUCAAUUCACUUGUUAUAUCUUCAUUAAUCGACUGUUAGAAAUUAAAACAAUCAAAAUCAUUUGUUCGUGUUCGCCUUGAGAUUAAACUGGAGUAAAUUGAUAGUAAUUGCCAGUCCUCGUGGGAACGAUAUUUCUUAUCACUUUAUUUCUUGAUCAACCUGUAUACUUUCAGUAUAUAUUUCGCCCAUCACGUGAUAAUGUAAUGUGCUUACAAAUGAGUUUGCUUACAAAUGUAGUAUGUGCUUGACCAGAAAUAUGAUUGCUUAGAAACUAG